Molecule: ribosomal RNA, 504 nt
Filed under: Staphylococcus aureus
Lineage: Bacteria; Bacillati; Bacillota; Bacilli; Caryophanales; Staphylococcaceae
Description: bacterial SSU rRNA
Rfam family: Bacterial small subunit ribosomal RNA
Source: RNAcentral
UUAGCGGCGGACGGGUGAGUAACACGUGGAUAACCUACCUAUAAGACUGGGAUAACUUCGGGAAACCGGAGCUAAUACCGGAUAAUAUUUUGAACCGCAUGGUUCAAAAGUGAAAGACGGUCUUGCUGUCACUUAUAGAUGGAUCCGCGCUGCAUUAGCUAGUUGGUAAGGUAACGGCUUACCAAGGCAACGAUGCAUAGCCGACCUGAGAGGGUGAUCGGCCACACUGGAACUGAGACACGGUCCAGACUCCUACGGGAGGCAGCAGUAGGGAAUCUUCCGCAAUGGGCGAAAGCCUGACGGAGCAACGCCGCGUGAGUGAUGAAGGUCUUCGGAUCGUAAAACUCUGUUAUUAGGGAAGAACAUAUGUGUAAGUAACUGUGCACAUCUUGACGGUACCUAAUCAGAAAGCCACGGCUAACUACGUGCCAGCAGCCGCGGUAAUACGUAGGUGGCAAGCGUUAUCCGGAAUUAUUGGGCGUAAAGCGCGCGUAGGCGGUUUUU